This 1012-nucleotide ribosomal RNA is filed under the name uncultured bacterium. RNAcentral describes it as "bacterial SSU rRNA". It matches the Rfam family "Bacterial small subunit ribosomal RNA", at positions 42 to 1035 of the family's 1533-position model. The record is from RNAcentral.
GUAGCUUAACAUGCAGUCGUGCGGUAACAGACAUAAAGAUUUAGCUUGCUAAAUCCGGUGCUGACGAGCGGCGAACGGGUGAGUAACACGUAGGAAUCUACCCAGUAGCGGGGGAUAGCCCAGGGAAACUUGGAUUAAUACCGCAUACGCCCUAAGGGGAAAAGAAGGCCUCUCUUUGAAGCUUUCACUAUUGGAUGAGCCUGCGUAAGAUUAGCUUGUUGGUGGGGUAAAGGCCUACCAAGGCAACGAUCUUUAGCUGGUCUGAGAGGACGAUCAGCCACAUUGGGACUGAGACACGGCCCAGACUUCUACGGAAGGCAGCAGUUAGGAAUAUUGGACAAUGGGGGCAACCCUGAUCCAGCUAUACCGCGUGUGUGAAGAAGGCCCUAGGGUUGUAAAGCACUUUAAGCAGGGAAGAAGCAUACUAAGUUAAUACCUUAAUAUGUUGACGUUACCUGAAGAAUAAGGACCGGCUAACUCCGUGCCAGCAGCCGCGGUAAUACGGAGGGUCCAAGCGUUAAUCGGAAUUACUGGGCGUAAAGCGCGCGUAGGUGGUUUAUUAAGUUGGAUGUGAAAUCCCCGGGCUCAACCUGGGAACUGCAUCCAAAACUGAUUCACUAGAGUACGAUAGAGGGAGGUAGAAUUCACAGUGUAGCGGUGGAAUGCGUAGAUAUUGUGAAGAAUACCAAUGGCGAAGGCAGCCUCCUGGAUCUGUACUGACACUGAGGUGCGAAAGCGUGGGUAGCGAACAGGAUUAGAUACCCUGGUAGUCCACGCCGUAAACGAUGUCAACUAGCUGUUGGAAAGCAUUGCUUUUCAGUGGCGCAGCUAACGUAGUAAGUUGACCGCCUGGGGAGUACGGCCGCAAGGUUAAAACUCAAAUGAAUUGACGGGGACCCGCACAAGCGGUGGAGCAUGUGGUUUAAUUCGAUGCAACGCGAAAAACCUUACCUACUCUUGACAUACUUGGGAGGCUCUUGUAAUGAGAGUGUGCCUUUUGGAACCAAGAUAC